AACGAACGCUGGCGGCAUGCCUAACACAUGCAAGUCGAACGAGACCUUCGGGUCUAGUGGCGCACGGGUGCGUAACGCGUGGGAACCUGCCCUUAGGUUCGGAAUAACUCCCCGAAAGGGGUGCUAAUACCGGAUAAUGUCUUCGGACCAAAGAUUUAUCGCCUUUGGAUGGGCCCGCGUUGGAUUAGCUAGUUGGUAGGGUAAAAGCCUACCAAGGCGACGAUCCAUAGCUGGUCUGAGAGGAUGAUCAGCCACACUGGGACUGAGACACGGCCCAGACUGCUACGGGAGGCAGCAGUGGGGAAUAUUGGACAAUGGGCGAAAGCCUGAUCCAGCAAUGCCGGGUGAGUGAUGAAGGCCUUAGGGUUGUAAAGCUCUUUUACCCGGGAUGAUAAUGACAGUACCGGGAGAAUAAGCUCCGGCUAACUCCGUG
This 433-nucleotide ribosomal RNA is filed under the name uncultured bacterium. Its description in RNAcentral is "partial 16S ribosomal RNA". It matches the Rfam family "Bacterial small subunit ribosomal RNA", at positions 29 to 507 of the family's 1533-position model. The record is from RNAcentral.